RNAcentral lists this transfer RNA (72 nucleotides) under Caldilineae bacterium. RNAcentral describes it as "tRNA-Gln". It matches the Rfam family "tRNA". From Rfam's summary of the family: Transfer RNA (tRNA) molecules are approximately 80 nucleotides in length. Their secondary structure includes four short double-helical elements and three loops (D, anti-codon, and T loops). Lineage: Bacteria; Bacillati; Chloroflexota; Caldilineae. The record is from RNAcentral. RNAcentral also lists the same sequence under 1 other name.
UGGGGGAUCGUAUAAUUGGCAGUACGGGUGACUCUGGAUCACUUAGUCGGGGUUCGAAUCCCUGUCCCCCAG